Sinocyclocheilus grahami is the source of this 546-nucleotide long non-coding RNA. RefSeq lists it as uncharacterized. Lineage: Eukaryota; Metazoa; Chordata; Actinopteri; Cypriniformes; Cyprinidae. The record is from RefSeq and is a predicted model, not a curated record. The transcript has 3 exons.
UGCGGCCGGUUUUAAUCAACAAAGCGAGAAGAAUUCGUUUCUGCGCCGGCCAGCCGCGGCAGGAGGAAAUCUUCAAAUAUCCAAAGGAGAAACAGCCGAUGAACACACUAGUUUGUUUGCCUUGAAGGAUUAUGGGAAAAGUUGUUGAACUGACGGCCCCAACAAAACUGUCCGUUCUUCCUGUCUGAGGGGCUUCCUCCCACUCGUGCCCAAUCAGCACCUGUCACCACGGUGAUCGCCGAUGCAGGGUUUAUCUAAGGAAACAGUUGCCGUGGCAAGGAUGGUCUGGCCACAGUGACAGAUUAAUGCUGACUUAAACUCACUUCCUGAUCACACAGAGAGGACUCUAAUGAGGAGGAGGAGUCUCGCUGUCUGUCUGUCUCUAUCUCACAUACACACACUCAAAGGCGCCACAAUGUAGACAGGCCAAAAUAAAGCAAGCUGCUCGAGUCUGUCCAUAUUGUCUUAUUGUUCAUGGUGUUAAUUAUUUCCUGUUUACUAAUAGGCCAGAACAGAGUCUGGAGAGGUCAGAAAGCCACAGACAUU